GGAGCUGCAUACAGUAAUGAGGAAAAUAAUGAAUAAAACAAUAUAUAAUAAUCAAUAAAAUAAAAGUUAAGAGACUGCCUUUGCAUAUAAAUAAAAUAAUAAAUGAAUGAAGAAGUGACUGAAAGCACACAGGGAUAAAAGAGAACAAAGAGCUCUCUGAUAUAAGAUAAAUGUUAUAUAACUGUGACAUUGUGAGUAAGCUGUGUAACAAGAGUCCCCACACAUGACCCCCGACACAAUGAAUAAUAUUUCACUCUAACUGUUUUUCACAAUACUUUUCUGUAGAGAGCUGAAGAGGAAAGUGGACCAAAGGAAAUGACACGGCGAGAAAGUGAAGUCAAUUCUGCCGUGUCAUGUUCCAGAAGCUGCAGGAAGCUCCGACUCCACGGAGACCACCGACACACGUAAACCAGCAGUGAAGAGGAAGAGGUCAGAGGAAAUGGAGGAAUCCGUGGAGGAAACUCCGGCUGAAGAGGAGGCGAAGAAGGACAACAGUCAACAGGAACACAGUGAGCAACAGCCUGAAGAAGACAGUGGUGAGAGAAAACACACACACACACACACACACACACACACACACACACACACACACAUGUCCUGGAAGCACCAUAUAUCAGUAAUAAUUGUAGUUACAUUUAUUUUUCACUUUCUCUCAGUGCUUUUGCACUUUUGAAUGGCCUUGUUACUGAACUGUGAAUAAAUAUAUAUAUAUAUAUAUAUAUAUAUAUAUAUAUAUAUAUAUAUAUAUAAGCUUUCCUUGUUCUAUUGUAGAAACAAAAUAACAUUUUCUGAGUUAGGAGGAAACUGAAACUGAAUCCUUACAGUCUCUAUUGUUGUUCAUCUUUUUCCAGGUUGCUCCCCUUCAGCGAGCCAGGCAGAGAGUGAAGAAGAGAUCUGCUGCGAGAAGAAAGCAGACGAUGUUGAGGAAGAGGACCAAGAUGCGCCUCCAAAGAGAGCCGGUCGGAGGGGGCGGCCGUCCAAGUCAGCGGCAGCCACCGAGGAUCCAGAUAAAAAGGCCAGGAAGGCAGAAGAAAGCGAGCAAAAUGAUGAAGAGGAGGACGAUGAUGGUGAGAAAGAAGAGGGGGGAAAAGGAACCGCAACCAGAGCGAAGACACGGUCAGCAGCUCGCCUGGAGGCUGAAAGGAACAAGCCAAGUAAACCGUCCACCCGGGCAAACCGACAGAACGGCAAAGAGGAGACCGCAGCUGGCACACGCGGGACGAGGGGCCAGGCGGCAGCGGCGGUGUCGAAGGGGGGCCGUAAACGGGAGGCUAGCCCCCCUGCGGUGCGAACGCGGGGAGGACAGAAAUCAGAGGAGCCCCCUUCCAAGAGAGCCAAACGCUAAAACCUCACAGCUUCGCCCCAGCAGCGCUUUCUCUGCACUCCAUAUUAAAGUCAGUUUUGUUGCCAGCGAGCGUCUACGGUCAGUUAGCAUGUAAAGCCCUUUCUGCUUCAUUGACCGUAGAUAUGAAGAAGCUCUGGAUAGUAUUACACUCUCUCCUCUGAUAGUCGAGUGUAAACCUGAGGAUCUGUGCAGGAAUCCCCCCGGAAUACCUUCUACUGCACUACGCCCAUAUGGUUUGGAUCAGACUUCAUCAUCCCGCCGUUUAUUCAGUAAUGCCCCGAGAAUCAGAGCGUUUCAGCCCAAUCAAAGGCCUAACGUGCAGCCGAGUCCAGCUUUCACAUAAAGAGGGCGAAUUAAAAUCAGAGUGCGUCUCAGUUCCCGCUGAGACUGUUUGUACAUCCAAACACUUGUACAUAGAAAUCACUGUGAGGCGUCUUAGCGCUCAUUGUGAAUUUUAUUUUUUAAUAUUCAUUCUGUGAAUGAAGGGAGAAUUUUCCCUCCCACUUUUUUUAAGUUUUUGUUUUUAUACUUAAUACUCAGAAGGUAAGGGUCUUUUUUUUUUUUUUUUUUUAUAUCAGCAGUAUUAAACAGUAUUAAACCGUUACUUAAUGUCUUCUUCAUGACAUUUGUAACAACAAAUAUCUUUUUCUUACUGUCUGAACUGAUUAUUUGUAUCGUCUUAUAGUUAACUGUAUAUCAAUACGAUGGUGUGUUGCCGACCUGUCAAUGUAAAGACUUUGUUUUCAUAAAUGUAAAAAGACUUAAUAUUGUUUCCCUUUUUAUUGUUUCAAGCAACUUCACACUUCUUUUUUUUUUCAACAAAACUUUUUCUAAAAUAGAAACCAAUGAAAGCAAACUGCUCUCUUAUUAUUUUUAAGUGAGGUUUCACUUUUUCAUUUUUCUACUCUCGCUUGUAAAUUCCUGGAUCUGGU
This is a long non-coding RNA of Cottoperca gobio, 2277 nucleotides long. The record is from Ensembl. Lineage: Eukaryota; Metazoa; Chordata; Actinopteri; Perciformes; Bovichtidae.